UACAGUCAGCUAUCACAUAAAGGCCACGGUGGGCCAGCUGGCCGGUGCUAAAGCCGGCCAGUGUGCGCCUCGCAGUGCGCGUCACCCCAGGGAACGUGGCAAAAAGAGGAGACAAAGGAAUAGAAGAGUCCACGUUACGAGACCAGGUGAGUAAGAGCAAGCAUAAGAAAGCGAUCAUGAAAGGGAAGGUAGAGAAGAGAAGGCUAGGUGGACGGUCGUCGAGCGUGGUCGGGGCGGAACGUAGUGUUGGUGUGGUCUCUUCGUGUUGAGGGCGGCACGUAGCGGCUGAGUGCUGGUGUGGGGCGGCGGCGCUCGACAGAGUAGUGGUGGUGGCGCUCGGCGACGCUCGACAGGUCGACGCGUGAUGCGGUCUCAACGAGGUCGACAUGGCUCCCCUACGCGGCGCCGUCGGCGACGACGUUCAGUUUGUGGUGCGGCCUCAAGGACCUUAGUCGUAGCCGUCCUCGACGUUAGCCGCCGUUAAAAACGAUGUUGGCCCCAAAACAAAACGACCUUGGUUACUGAGAAAAACGAUCCUAGACAUUCACCCCCAACAAAAACGAUCUUGGUCGAAGUUAAAAACAACGGUGGUAUAUACUAAAAACGAUUCAGAACUAAAAACGAUGGCGGGUAGAAACUAAAAAAUACUUUGGUCAAGAUUUAAAAACGAUGAUGGUAGGAAACAAAAACGAUGGUGGCAGAAUCUAAAAACGAUGGUAGGGUAGAAAAACUAAAACAUAACCUAGGUAGACGGCCGUCAGCGAAAAGAGGGAGUGCGCUCUACACAGCCCCCUCGAUGCUUUAAGCGUUUCGACCUUGGUAGCGGGUUUAAACGACCUUGGCUGCCGGUUAAAACGACCUUGGCCGAUACCACUACUGCUGCUGAUACUGUCCUCGUUGCUUGAUCGCUCCCUACAACGCUGGACGCCCGACAAAACAACCUUGGCUGCUACGAAAAACGAUGUAUCCCCGCCUAUCUGCGCCCCGUGCUCGCUACGUUGGUACCUCGGUCGCUCCAACGGGCCGCUCGACGUGGCCGCUCGCUGCGGUACCUCCGUCUCCGUCUUUCGGCGCCCCCUUGCUACUUGUUCGUCCCCCUAAACGCACUGGCCGCAGCGAGCGCUCUUCUUUUCCCUGCACACGCUCCGUUAGGAUACCAGGUCCCGCGUGCAUAGCCCGCCGACGCGCCACUGGCCGGGUUUAAACCCGGCCAGCUGGCCGCGGAUCAUGACGGGUUGACAGUUUGACAGUUUCAUGUACAUUGAAAAGCGGAUAGAAGAAACGUCACAGUCCAAAAAAGAAUAGAAAACAAAAAGAAAGGGAAUCUUUUCUGUAGGUCGUUUGUAGGGAGACAACAAAAUAAACAAUGACGAGGGAGGCAAAUUUAUAUGCUCCGUGGUACCUAAAAAGUCGAAAGUAUUUAAACUGUUUUUUAUUCAAGCUUUUUGUAUUGGUCGCUUGUAGUCUAUAAUCUGGGAAAGUCGUCUGCGGGAAACCUAAGGAACGUGCUUAGAACCGUGCCAACAUCGUCGGUACGGUGUUAAAGUUUCGUCGCAAGCAACAUUGGCGGCGCGGGCACUUACAAAGGAACAGUAAAGAGGAAUAGGUGAGGGUGGGAGUGGGCAACGCCGACGAGCUGGGACGGCCUCAGCCCCCUCAGUUAGCACACAACACGACCUUAAUCCAAAUAAAGUCCGGUCGAGUUAUCGGUAUAAGUCUUAAGGAUUAUUUAGAAUCUCCAGGUGAAUGGGGGUAUGUUUUAUUUUCCACCCUGAUUUCAAAUUAGAGUGUGACAAGUGGAUCAUCCUCAACCUGGAGGAGUAUUCCAUUCAACAAAAGGGUAUACAUACCCGUACUCUUGUUCUCUCGUGCGCGCGAGGAGGAGGCUGCGGGCAGAGCGGUACGGAGCAGUGCUGCGUAGUGCCCAACGCCUACUCGGCCCGGCAACAGAUUUAAACAAAUCACCUCUAACUUAUGCUUGUGAUGUGAGAAAUCAUCGACGAACAAGUAAGACAGAGGGAGAAAAAGAAGUGGGGCGCGACGACGUACAAGCGAAGGAAAAGAACACGGAUAUUUGCUCGCCAACGAGGAGAGGUCUCUCUGUGUGCUCUUGUAGUGGAAGGAGUACGGUGGCUCAAGGUUCGAGACUCAACGACGAUCCAAGAAGGGGUAGGGCCGAACGCCACACGUAGCAUCCAGCUCUCUCAUCCGGAGGUUUUGGGGCGGUGAAGCUCAGGUAUGCCCUUUUCCCACUAUUCCAAAACCCCCUAACGAGACGCGCUGAUGACUGGAGAAGUAGUACGUGCGGCUGCUGGUGAAGGGGUUGCUGCUGAAGAAGGGGCCGUAGCUGUUGGAGAAGCUGAUGUACCCACUUGCGGUUGCGGUUAGGGUUACGGUGACGGCCAUACACAAGCACAAGAAAAACAAGCUGUAGGACGAUCUCAAAGAAAAGAACGAAGACGGGAUCUAUAAAAUACAAGUAUAAGUGAUGAAGUCUACGAUAAACGUACGAGAUACAGUCUAACGUACUAACC
Molecule: ribosomal RNA, 2534 nt
Filed under: Triticum aestivum (bread wheat)
Lineage: Eukaryota; Viridiplantae; Streptophyta; Magnoliopsida; Poales; Poaceae
Description: partial small subunit ribosomal RNA
Source: RNAcentral